AGAGUUUGAUCAUGGCUCAGGAUAAACGCUGGCGGCGCACAUAAGACAUGCAAGUCGAACGAACUUAACCAUAAGUUUACUUUUGGAGCGGUUAGUGGCGGACUGGUGAGUAACACGUAAGCAACCUGCCUAACAGAGGGGAACAACAGUUAGAAAUGACUGCUAAUACCGCAUAUGCCUUGAGUAUCGCAUGGUACAAGAGGGAAAGGAGAAAUCCGCUGAUAGAUGGGCUUGCGUCUGAUUAGCUAGUUGGUGGGGUAAAGGCCUACCAAGGCGACGAUCAGUAGCCGGACUGAGAGGUUGAACGGCCACAUUGGGACUGAGAUACGGCCCAGACUCCUACGGGAGGCAGCAGUCGGGAAUAUUGCGCAAUGGAGGGAACUCUGACGCAGUGACGCCGCGUGCAGGAAGAAGGUUUUCGGAUUGUAAACUGCUUUAGACAGGGAAGAAGAAAGACAGUACCUGUAGAAUAAGCUCCGGCUAACUACGUGCCAGCAGCCGCGGUAAUACGUAGGGAGCGAGCGUUAUCCGGAUUUAUUGGGUGUAAAGGGUGCGUAGACGGGAAGGCAAGUUGGUUGUGAAAUCCCUCGGCUUAACUGAGGAACUGCAACCAAAACUAUCUUUCUUGAGUGCUGGAGAGGAAAGUGGAAUUCCUAGUGUAGCGGUGAAAUGCGUAGAUAUUAGGAGGAACACCAGUGGCGAAGGCGACUUUCUGGACAGUAACUGACGUUGAGGCACGAAAGUGUGGGGAGCAAACAGGAUUAGAUACCCUGGUAGUCCACACUGUAAACGAUGGAUAC
RNAcentral lists this ribosomal RNA (800 nucleotides) under uncultured bacterium. RNAcentral describes it as "bacterial SSU rRNA". It matches the Rfam family "Bacterial small subunit ribosomal RNA", at positions 8 to 816 of the family's 1533-position model. The record is from RNAcentral.